Molecule: ribosomal RNA, 428 nt
Filed under: uncultured bacterium
Lineage: Bacteria
Description: bacterial SSU rRNA
Rfam family: Bacterial small subunit ribosomal RNA
Source: RNAcentral
GUGGGGAAUAUUGGGCAAUGGGGGAAACCCUGACCCAGCAACGCCGCGUGAAGGAAGAAGGCCUUCGGGUUGUAAACUUCUUUUACCAGGGACGAAGGACGUGACGGUACCUGGAGAAAAAGCAACGGCUAACUACGUGCCAGCAGCCGCGGUAAUACGUAGGUUGCAAGCGUUGUCCGGAUUUACUGGGUGUAAAGGGCGUGUAGGCGGAGGAGCAAGUCAGAUGUGAAAUCCAUGGGCUUAACCCAUGAACUGCAUUUGAAACUGUUUCCCUUGAGUAUCGGAGAGGCAAGCGGAAUUCCUAGUGUAGCGGUGAAAUGCGUAGAUAUUAGGAGGAACACCAGUGGCGAAGGCGGCUUGCUGGACGACAACUGACGCUGAGGCGCGAAAGCGUGGGGAGCAAACAGGAUUAGAAACCCUAGUAGUCC